Molecule: ribosomal RNA, 490 nt
Filed under: uncultured bacterium
Lineage: Bacteria
Description: bacterial SSU rRNA
Rfam family: Bacterial small subunit ribosomal RNA
Source: RNAcentral
AUUGAACGCUGGCGGCAUGCUUUACACAUGCAAGUCGAACGGUAACAGGGACUUCGGUCUGCUGACGAGUGGCGAACGGGUGAGUAACAUAUCGGAACGUGCCCAGUAAUGGGGGAUAGCUCGGCGAAAGCCGGAUUAAUACCGCAUACGCCCUACGGGGGAAAGCCGGGGAUCUUCGGACCUGGCGCUAGUAGAUGAGCCCGCGUGAGAUUAGCUUGUUGGUGGGGUAAUGGCCUACCAAGGCAACGAUCUCUAGCUGGUCUGAGAGGACGAUCAGCCACACUGGGACUGAGACACGGCCCAGACUCCUACGGGAGGCAGCAGUGGGGAAUAUUGGACAAUGGGCGAAAGCCUGAUCCAGCAAUGCCGCGUGUGUGAAGAAGGCCUGAGGGUUGUAAAGCACUUUCAAUCGUGAAGAAAAGUUGCAGGCUAAUACCCUGUGACCUUGACGUUAACGAUACAAGAAGCACCGGCUAACUCCGUGCCAGCA